GACGAACGCUGGCGGCGGGCUUAACACAUGCAAGUCGAACGGCAAGGCCCUGCUUUUGUGGGGUGCUCGAGGGGCGAACGGGUGAGUAACACGUGAGUAACCUGCCCUUGACUUUGGGAUAACUUCAGGAAACUGGGGCUAAGACCGGAUAGGAGAUCCUGCUGCAUGGUGGGGGGUGGAACGUUUCGGCGGUUGGGGAUGGACCCGCGGCUUAUGAGCUUGUUGGUGGGGUAGUGGCUUACCAAGGCUUUGGCGGGUAGCCGGCCUGAGAGGGUGACCGGCCUCAUUGGGACUGCGGUACGGCCCAGUCUCCUACGGGAGGCAGCAGGGGGGAAUCUUGCACAGUGGGCGCGAGCCGGAUGCAACAACGCCGCGUGCGGGAUGACGGCCUUCGGGUUGUAAACCGCUUUCGGCUGUGACGACGCGUGAGUGACGGUACUGGGUAAAGAAGCACCGGCUAACUACGUG
This 468-nucleotide ribosomal RNA is filed under the name uncultured bacterium. Its description in RNAcentral is "partial 16S ribosomal RNA". It matches the Rfam family "Bacterial small subunit ribosomal RNA", at positions 28 to 507 of the family's 1533-position model. The record is from RNAcentral.